AAUGAUGGAGAGUAACAUUUUUUUGGGGAUAGUGAGCUUCCUCGACCUGGUGACAAGGACCUUUGUUGGCUUGGUGAAGACGACCUUUGUCCACUUGGUGAUAAGGACCUCCUUUGGUCUGGUGACAAUGACCUACGCCACCUAGGUGACACGGACCUAUGCCGACUCGACAAUGGGGACCUUCGUCGACUUGGGGAGGGGGACCUACGUCGUGCUGGCGAUGGGGAUCUACGCCAGCUUGGUGAUGGUGACCUGCGUCGCAUGGAUAAGGGUGAUCUACGCCGAGGAGGUGACAAAUAUCUACGGCGUCGACUAAUGGAGGGGGACCUACGACGUCGAAUAGGUGAUGGUGACCUGCGUCGUCGAAUAGGUGAUGGUGAUCUACGUCGAUAAGGAGAACGUAGUUUUCGUCGUAGCGGAGAUGGUGAUUUCCAAGGUGACCUAGAUCUUCUCUUAGAAUAUGAUGACCUUCGUCUUGAAGGAGAAACAGAGGCCCGUGGUGAACCCCUACGACGUGGUGUAAUAGAUUGCUUUCUU
This 537-nucleotide long non-coding RNA is filed under the name Carica papaya (papaya). RNAcentral's name for it is "long non-coding RNA (CPAP_LNC007363)". The record is from RNAcentral. Lineage: Eukaryota; Viridiplantae; Streptophyta; Magnoliopsida; Brassicales; Caricaceae.